This is a long non-coding RNA of Helianthus annuus (common sunflower), 671 nucleotides long. RefSeq lists it as uncharacterized. The transcript has 3 exons. The record is from RefSeq and is a predicted model, not a curated record. Lineage: Eukaryota; Viridiplantae; Streptophyta; Magnoliopsida; Asterales; Asteraceae.
AUUUAUAUUAAAUUUAUUUUAAGUUAAUAGUGUACUGGUUAUAACUAAUAUCAAAUCUUUACUAAUACUUGAUUUCUUUUUAUGAUGGUUGACUUUGCGAGAACUAACGGAGCAUUAGUGUCAAGAAUGGGCUGAGAUUCGAAUUCAGUCGGUUUUUCGCUCUUUUUUGACAAAAAGGGAUCAAGAUCGGGACCGUCCAUUUGACUUCACACGGAUCACCAUCUGCUUUCUCUCUCAAUGCUCACACAUCUGACAAAAAGGGAUGCCAAAAGCAGGGAAGUACAAUCUACAGGAAAAAGCAACACUUUACUUUUGUGUGAAAGACAGCUUGCUUGCUGCAGUCUCUAUAAUAUAUCAACACUCUUCCAUACACUGUUUGAAAGACAGCACUGCUUCCUUCAGUCUCUAUAAAUAAUCCAGAGAUAUCUACACUCUACUCACACUUUACAAACUCUCAACUACACUCAACUGAAAUUAAUAUAUCAACUCUUUGCAUUCGGAUCUUGCGUUGUUUCUCGGCUCUCACAUCAAGGUUUUAAAAUUUUUGUCGGCUUUUCACAUCUCCCUCUUGCAUUGUUGUAAGUUCUUUCAAAUAUGACAUAGUGAAAGGAUAAAUUGUUUUUGUAGUUUUGAUUUUACUUUGUUCUGUUAUAUUUUGAUCUUUUCCUUCA